AGUGAACGCUGGCGGUAGGCCUAACACAUGCAAGUCGAACGGCAGCACAGUAAGAGCUUGCUCUUACGGGUGGCGAGUGGCGGACGGGUGAGGAAUACAUCGGAAUCUACUUUUUCGUGGGGAUAACGUAGGGAAACUUACGCUAAUACCGCAUACGACCUACGGGUGAAAGCAGGGGAUCUUCGGACCUUGCGCGAGUGAAUGAGCCGAUGUCGGAUUAGCUAGUUGGCGGGGUAAAGGCCCACCAAGGCGACGAUCCGUAGCUGGUCUGAGAGGAUGAUCAGCCACACUGGAACUGAGACACGGUCCAGACUCCUACGGGAGGCAGCAGUGGGGAAUAUUGGACAAUGGGCGCAAGCCUGAUCCAGCCAUACCGCGUGGGUGAAGAAGGCCUUCGGGUUGUAAAGCCCUUUUGUUGGGAAAGAAAAGCAGCAGGUUAAUACCCCGCUGUUCUGACGGUACCCAAAGAAUAAGCACCGGCUAACUUCGUG
This 491-nucleotide ribosomal RNA is filed under the name uncultured bacterium. RNAcentral describes it as "partial 16S ribosomal RNA". It matches the Rfam family "Bacterial small subunit ribosomal RNA", at positions 29 to 507 of the family's 1533-position model. The record is from RNAcentral.